Transfer RNA from Felis catus (domestic cat), 85 nucleotides. It matches the Rfam family "tRNA". From Rfam's summary of the family: Transfer RNA (tRNA) molecules are approximately 80 nucleotides in length. Their secondary structure includes four short double-helical elements and three loops (D, anti-codon, and T loops). Further hydrogen bonds mediate the characteristic L-shaped molecular structure. tRNAs have two regions of fundamental functional importance: the anti-codon, which is responsible for specific mRNA codon recognition, and the 3' end, to which the tRNAs corresponding amino acid is attached (by aminoacyl-tRNA synthetases). tRNAs cope with the degeneracy of the genetic code in two manners: having more than one tRNA (with a specific anti-codon) for a particular amino acid; and 'wobble' base-pairing, i.e. permitting non-standard base-pairing at the 3rd anti-codon position. The record is from Rfam. Lineage: Eukaryota; Metazoa; Chordata; Mammalia; Carnivora; Felidae.
GCCUGGGUGGCUCAGUCGGUUGAGCGUCCGACUUCGGCUCAGGCCACGAUCUCACGGUUCGUGAGUUCGAGCCCCACGUCAGGCU